GGUGGUUCAGUGGUAGAGUGCUUGCCUUGCAUGCAUGAGUCCCUGAGUUCGAUUCCUCAGCACCA
RNAcentral lists this transfer RNA (65 nucleotides) under Dipodomys ordii (Ord's kangaroo rat). It matches the Rfam family "tRNA". Rfam says of the family: Transfer RNA (tRNA) molecules are approximately 80 nucleotides in length. The record is from Rfam by way of RNAcentral. Lineage: Eukaryota; Metazoa; Chordata; Mammalia; Rodentia; Heteromyidae.